GUUGCCCUCCAAGCUCUGAGAUGGAAAAAUGUAUGUGUAGGACUUCUAAACAACUAAAAUAUAUCAAAUGACGAAGUACUGAGCUGAUUUGGAAAGCUUUUUGAGCUAGUAGAAAUGGUGAAAAAAAAAAUUGCAUUUUUUUUUUCAAAAAGGAACAACAAUGGAGGCAAUGAUGAAGAAUGUAGAUUUUCAGUUGUGAUGAACAAUUUUUCGUUGGAAAAAUGGCCGAAAAAAUCGCCGGAAUCGAAAAUUAUUGGUGAAAAAAGAAGCUCCUAUUGAUGGCUUCUUGGACAAUUUUCUAAAUUAAAAUAGGAAAUAUGAAAAAAUUGUGGGAAUAUAAAAAAAGGUGGGAAAUAUUAAAUAUUAAAUAGAUGAGGUGAGGGACUAAAGUGUAAAGUUUAAAACUUGUGUGGUUGGUUUGAAUGAAAGAAUGGAUGAUGUCAUAAAUUUAUAAACACCUAAUUUUCCAAGUUUCUAAAUGUUAAAAUAAGUUUUGAAAGUGUCUAUUUACCCAACUCUCCCCAGUUUUUCCGUUCUCCUCAAGUAACAAAUCUGAGAUGGGAUGGACUUAAUUUUGUACUGGAUGUAUUGUGCACACGGAGCUGUAGAUACUGUCAUGGGUCCACACACCAUUCAACAUGAAACUGUUGUUGUAAAGGCAGCUACAGCUCCUGCAUUCACUACAAGCGGUGUAGGUUCUGAUGCUUGCAGUGUCCACACAACCAUUCCAAGAUAUGAUGUAUGGUUAUGGUCUUAUUUCAUAUCAUGAAGCAAGGAGAAGUCAAGUCCGUGCCAAAGUUGUCAAGGUUGUUGGACGAUAGCAGAAAUGGGAGGGGCAAUGGAGGUCCUUCCUAUAAGUCAAAUAACAUUUUAUCAAUGUCAAGAUCGAUUUUUCCUUGGUAACAUCUUGUAAAUUACUCUUUUAAGAGGUGUUGAUCUCUAACUGAUAUUUUUCUUUAUUCAUUGUUGACUGUGUGUAAUGUGUCGCUAGCAUAAAGAAAUUUCAAGAAAUUUAAGAAUAACAUAAGUUAAUCAUUGUUGUUGAA
This is a long non-coding RNA of Capsicum annuum, 1046 nucleotides long. RefSeq lists it as uncharacterized. The transcript is spliced from 3 exons. The record is from RefSeq and is a predicted model, not a curated record. NCBI's taxonomy places the organism in Eukaryota, Viridiplantae, Streptophyta, Magnoliopsida, Solanales, Solanaceae.